Molecule: long non-coding RNA, 322 nt
Filed under: Vitis vinifera (wine grape)
Lineage: Eukaryota; Viridiplantae; Streptophyta; Magnoliopsida; Vitales; Vitaceae
Description: long non-coding RNA (VVIN_LNC003462)
Source: RNAcentral
AUCCCUAGACUUGUUGGAAGGCAUGGAGAUAGGGUUGGAAGCAUUGAGUUCCCAGGGAGAUUUAGGGUUUGCGGGGAGGUCAGACCAAGAAGGGAGAGUAGAGAGCAUUUGCUCCAAAAAGUCGUCAUGGGAAGAGGAAUCGAAGUGGGUAUUGGGAAGCUGAAUCUGAGAAGGGUUAGGGAUCUGGGGGUGAUGCUGAUGCUGCUGCUGCUGCUGAUGUUGAUGAUGAUGAUGAUGAUGAUGACCAUUUUGGAGGUCUUGAAGAGAGAUUUGAGACGGGUUUAGGAGAGAGUUGAUGGCUUGCAUUUCUCUACUACAAGGC